AUGCCGGGAGCUGCGCCGGGCCGGGAGCGCCAUGGCAGCGUCCUCGCGCCCAGCCGGGACGGAUGCGGGCGCGCUGCCCAGUCCUGCGGUGGGUCUGCCGCGCGGCUCUUGACCCUGGCUGCUGGGAGGCUGAAUAUCUCCUUCCCGGCCACCGGCUGCCAGAAACUCAUCGCAGUGGACGAUGAAUGCAAGCUCCGUAGCUUCUACGAGAAGCGUACGGUCACGGAAGUUUCUGCGGACUCCCUGGGUGACGAGUGGAAGGGUUGCGUGGUCCAAAUCAGUGGCGGGAACGAUAAACAAGGUUUCCCCAUGAAGCAGGGUGUCUUGACCCAUGGCCGUGUCCGCCUGCUGCUGAGUAAGGGGCAUUCCUCUUACAGACCAAGGAGAACUGGAGAAAGAAAGCGCAAAUCUGUCCGGGGUUGCAUUGUGGAUGCCAAUCUGAGCGUUUUCAACUUGGUUAUUGUAAUAAAAGGAGAGAAGGAUAUUCCUGGGCUGUCUGACCCCACGGUGCCUCGUCGACUGGGGCCCAAAAGGGCUAGCAGGAUCCGCAAACUCUUCAAUCUCUCUAAAGAAGAUGUCCGCCAGUCUGUUGUAAGAAAGCCCCUAAACAAAGAAGGUAAGAAACCUAGGACCAAAGCACCCAAGAUUCAGCGACUUGUCACUCCACGUGUCCUGCACCACAAACGCCGGUGUAUUGCUCUGAAACAACAGCGUACUAAGAAAAAUAAGGAAGAGGCCGCAGAAUAUGCUAAACUUUUGGCCGAGAGAAUGAAGGAGGACAAAGAAAAACGCCAGGAGCAGAUUGCCAAGAGGCGCAGACUGUCCUCUCUGCGAGCUUCUACUUCCAAGUCUGAGUCUAGUCAAAAAUGAGAUUUUCUUGAGUAACAAAUAAAUAAGAUCAGGAAAAAAAA
This is an RNA transcript of Carlito syrichta (Philippine tarsier), 911 nucleotides long. It is a transcript of the gene named 40S ribosomal protein S6 pseudogene, with no coding region annotated. The transcript has a single exon. NCBI's taxonomy places the organism in Eukaryota, Metazoa, Chordata, Mammalia, Primates, Tarsiidae. The record is from RefSeq and is a predicted model, not a curated record.